UUUUUUUUUUUUUUUUUUUUUUUUUUGGCAUUGAAAGUCCCCAGGCCAGAGAUCAAACCUAAGCCAUAGUAGCAACUUGAGCCACUGCAGUGAACAGUGGAUACUUAACUUGCUUUGCCACAAAGGAACUCCCAAAAUGUGUUAAUUUAGAUGCCUGCCCCUCUGGCUGAUGCUUUUAGAUGAGCACAAGAUCCUCUUUCGUGUAACAUCUGGGCAAGAUCAGGUGCUUCCCUGGGGCAAGUGUAUCCAAGUGUAGGAACCCUUGAAAAGUCAUUUUUCAGAUUGCUAUAGCCUUGUGGGGGUCAUGGUCAUGAGUUCCACUGGUUUUCCAAGCUAUAUAUUUUGGGGGCUCAUAUCUCAGGUGUAGUUCUUAAAAGUUGAGGUGCCCAACGUGGGGCUCAAACUCUUCAGAAGAAUCUCCUGAUGGAGUCACUACAGGGUGGGUGGCAGUUGUGGCAAGAUUGUGUCUCAGCUUCUCUUACCCACUUUAAUGUGGAUUUUUUCUGGUUCACUUGAUGUGUAUUGUUGCUUUGCUAGUUUUUAGGUUUUUCUCAGAGAAAAGUGUCCUAUAUGUGCUGUGGGAGGAGGCGGGGUUCAGGAUCUUGCUGUGUCACCAUCUUGAACUAGCAGCAUCAAUAUUUUUAUUUCCCACCUAACUUGCUAAAUUCUCUUACUGAUUUUAAUAGUUUGUCUAUAACUUCUUUUUCAUUAUCUAUCGAGACAGCUUUUUUCUAUAAAUAAUAUUCUUUCUCAUUUCACAAUCAUAACUUUUCCUCCCAUCUUUUCUUGUUUUAUCAGUGCCUCUUUGAUCAGAUCUUUAUUCAAAUUGAGCUGUCCAAAAUGAUUCUAUUUUUAUGGGAUAAAAGCAUUUAAGUUGAUGUAGCAGGCCUCUUUUCUCCUGUGGUAGAUUUCUUUUCUGCUGGCUUCUUUUCAGCUACUGGUUUCUUGGUAACUGCAGCCUUUUUCUCUCCACAAAGGUUUUGAUGCCAAUAGCCUUCUUUUCUUCUCCUCUGUUACUGGCUUCUUGCCUAGAUCCCACUUCUCAUCCCAAUUGGCCUCUAAUGUUCCCUUAUCCACCUGGAGUUUGUGAUUCUUGGCCUGGUGAAGGAUGAUGUUCCAGUGUGUGCCUUUUGUAUAUGAGUUUAGCUUCAACACGAUUCUUAGGUUUUUCAGUGGAUUCUUCUGUGGGAGUCUGUGAUUAAUCUUCUUGUGUGGUUCUUGGAGGAAUCUUUGGAUCUUUGGGCUUUUCAAGGUUUUGCUAAAGUCUGUAUUGGGCAACUUGUACAGUCACUCUUGAGGGAGGCAGCUUUACACCAAGUGUCAUACACAUUAUCUAACUUGUGGAAAGCACUUGAAGUCCAAAUGCAGAAAUAUGUCCACCAGGAGCAGUUUCAAAAUGUUCAGUUGUGCUUCUAUCAAGCAUAGUUAUUGUAGGAAUGUUUCUGAAGGUCUUGAUGAUACGGGGCCCCCUGUGCUGGAUACAGUGACAGCUUCUCAUUUUGCUUUGACAGCUAUCAUUUGCUGAGAGGUAUAGGUGUUUUUUGUAACACCCUAAGUUUCUUAAGCUAGAUAGUCUCCUUGGUCUUCUGAUAGCCUUUAACUUUAUCUUCAUUCACCAAUGGGAGUUCAGAAACUUCCUCAAUAUGAUGACCUUUAGACAGGACUAGUUCUGGCAAGGCUGAGACAGGGCACAGAAAAUAGCACAUCACUUCUGUGUUGUGUUCACUUUGUGGUUGUCAGUGCCACAAAGGUUUUAAUGUAUGCAAACAUGCAGCCCCACAAAACAUAUUUCCAAAAGCACCCUCCACAUAGUCAUGAGCUAAAUACUCAAUACCUUUUAAAUAACACUAUAUGUCACUUUAAAACUUUGUGUCAUCCCUUGUGUUUUCUUUCUAAAACAAACACACUUAUCAGAAAUCUCUUCAAAGAAAGGAUUGGGCUUACUGGGUGCUGGUUGUGGAGAGGAACAAGCAAGAUCAUGUUACUCUAAAGGAGAGUGAAUUUGCUGACCUUGCCAACCCAGAAUUAUUAUUAUUUUAUUUUUGGCCGCCCACAGCAUGUGGAAAUUCCUGGGCCGGGAAUCAAAUGCACUCCACUGUAGUGACUGAGCCACAGCAAUGACAAUGCCAGAUCCUUAACCACUAGGCCAUCAAGGAACUCCCUAACCCAGAAUUCCUGAUGACUCUCUGAGGGACAAGUACCAACACUAGAACCAAAACAAACAAUAAGUGUAAAUCCCCUCAAAAUUUGGGAACUGGACCAAUGACCAGAUGAAAAAUAAGUUGGCUGCUAAUGUGUAUGUUUUGGAAUGACUGCCUGAGGCCCACAGGAGUUUUUUUUCUUCCUUCCUUCCUUCCUUCCUUCCCUCCCUCCCUCCCUCUCUCUCUCUCUCUCUCUCUCUCUCUCUCUCUCUCUCUCUCUUUCUCUCUGACAAUCCCACAGCAUAUGGAGUUGCCAGGCCAGGGAUCAGAUCUGAGCUGCAAGUACAGCAAAACCACAUCCUUAACCCACUGUGCUGGGUAGGAAUCAAACCUGAGUCCUGCAGUCCCAAGAGGCCACCAUCCUGCUAUGCCACAGUAGGAACUCCCUGCAGGAGUUUGGAGGCAGUGUCUUAAUGGAUAUUCAUUGUUUACUAUGUGUAUGGUCUGGCAGGAAAGUAAAUCAGCAGUUGGUACCCACUGCCUUUUGUCUCUUGAUCUGGAAGCCCAUGGUUUACUAGGAGGAAGAAUGGUGACAGAGUCUGAUGAUAAUUUUCAGCUCAUCCCAAAAAGCUAACUCUUUAUGGUAAUAUAAACCCAUCAACCAUGGUCUGAGCAUAGCUGUGAAGAAAAUGUCAGGUUAAGUACUUAUCUUAGUGACACAUUAUUUAAUGGAAACCACAUUUCUGUUAUAUUGAGUCAUCCACACUUAUUUUUAAAACAUGAAUUUCUCUUAUUUUGUAAAGAUACUAUUGGAAUAGGUCAGUUUUCAGCAUCUAGUAACACACCAUUCUGCUCUAUCGCUCUUGAAUUUGAUAUUAGUGAAUAUUUUCCUUAAAAAGCUCAUAAUAACACAUUCUUUGCUCCCCAGCCCCCAGGGAACAGGAUGUUUUAAUUAACAUAUACAUUAUAGAAAUAUCUGCUCAUCUUAGCUUUCUGCAUGAAAGGGAUUGAAAUUUGUUCCACCAAAGAAGCAAAAUCAACACACUCAAAGGCUGGGUGCGAGUAUAUUAGCAUUUCAGAGGCUCAAGUGUCAUAACUGGUUUAACUAAACAAAGCCAUAAUGUACAUUUCAGAAAAUUGCCAGGAAGGAAAAUCAAUUCUGUAUCUGAAUUGAAUUCAGAUAAAUCCAGCACCAUGUAUCUGCACUCUGCAUAGGCCUGAUAGGACAUCUGCAAAUAAUUUGCAAUCAAAAUCUUAACUUGUUUGAAAAGAGGCAUAAGUUCGCCAUUUUUCUUAAACUGAAAUUAUUGUCCUAACAGAUUUAUGGAAAUAUUUUGCAUCCUUAAAAGUGGUUGAUGUUGACAUGCUAUUUAUCAAUUUCUACCCCUUUGAAAAAUUUUAAUCUUUAAUUAUAAAUUUACACAUUUUGUUUGGGAGGUGGACUAAAUGAAUUGGUAGUGAUGUCUAAUGCCUAGGGUCAGAUGAACCAAUGGAAGGAAAGAAAGCACACCAACUAUCAAGUCAUGUGUACAUUUAGUGUUUCUGUAAAAUGUAGGAGAUUGAUCUUUUAAGGGAAAUGUAGGAAGCAAAGGAAUUGGGUAUUACUAUUUAGUACUUAAAGUUAUUUUUCAUUUUUUUCAGAAUCUUUGGAUGAGGCAAGUUACUGGAGCAAUGUCAUAAUAUUAGAAAGAUACAGUGUAGGUGAAAAGCUGACAAAUUUGAGAUCUUAAAGUUGUUCUGUUUAAAGAAUAAAAUCAAAAUAAAGUUUUCAGUUAAAAAAUUAAAUUAUAGGACUAAUUAUUUUUAAUUCAUCUGUUUAGUGCUGUGUCUUCCUUAGAAAACAUUUUCUCUUAUUCAUUUAAAAUAUAAAAUUAAUUUCUUUUAGCAAGUACUAACACUAGAAGCACUUUUUCCACAUUGUCAAAUUAUGAAGCCCAUCAGGGCUGCAGCAUCACAAAACUCCAGUUAGAAUUGUCCACAUAGAAAACAUUAAGAAUGACAGCUCUGCUGUGCAACUGCUUAUGAAUGAGCUCCCUGGUGCUGGGCAGUUCCCUGCAGUGUCCAUGAGGGUUGUGAAUGUUUAUCUUUUGUAUACAAAGAGGGGGGCUUGAAAUUCUUCCCUAGUUUUCCAUACUCUUUCUCUCACUGUUGACAACUUACUGCCUGAGUAUCUUCUCUAUUCCCCUGGAAGUGAUUAGCCUCAUCGGCUUGUCCUGUCAUUGUGUCCAAGGGAUGUUACAGUACAGAACCCUUAAGAGGCACUAGCCCCCUUUUCUGUUAAAAGACUGGGAAGAAUUAAUCAGGAUUCUUCAGUGAUCCUGCGUGAAGCACAGUCCAUGUUCUUGCUUGACAUCACAAAAAAUCUAUAUGAAGCCAUUCUUAGCAUUGGUUAGGCUAGGAGAUUAUACAUUAUUGCCUGUCUUGUUGGUUAAAAGAUGUAUUGCCUAGGUACUUACAGGCCUAUUCUAGUGGAUUCUUUACAACUUAUUGAUGGAAUGUUUCAAAGUACCUAACCUCUUCUGGAAAACGAAGAUAAUUCUUUUUUGCCUAAUGUAGUGACUCUACAAUGUAUAAAUAUAUUAAAUCUGGUCUCAGAUCCUCUCUAGUUGGUCUUAAAUUUGGAUUCCCUGAAAAAAAAUUAUACAUACCUAUCUAUAUGUAUGUGUGUAUAUAUAUACAUACAUGUAUAUACAUGUACACACAUCUGUAUAUAUAUUCUCAGACAAUUUUAGUUAUGAACAAGACUUUCAUAAUUUGCUCUUGAUGGCAGUGACUAUGGAUUCUUUCAAUUUAUGUUGUAACAAUUAGUUGUCAAAUAUUUCUAUUUUUUUCCAAUUUCUCUGUGAUUGUUUGCCAUCUCAUAUCUGUGUUUCAACUUUGUGUUUCCUGGUAGCUUUUUUUUUGUCAUAUAUAAGUAUGAUUAUGUUAACUAAAUGUUAAUGAGAGAUGUUUUGGCAAAGGAUCUGAUAAUGGAAAACUUGGGAAACUGUAUAUUACUCCAUUUUAAGGACACCCUAUAUAAAAAUGUCUAUACUGAACACACUUACUAGGGGUGAGUGGUCACACACAAAAAAGUCCUUUGACUGCUCCCCUGUUCUUUUAAAUAUGUAGCAAAUCAAUAGUGUUUGAUAGAAAGAUAUUUGGGUGAUUUGAGAAAUAAAUUGAAGCUGUAUUUUUAGAACCCAAAACAACAACAACAAAAAAAUGAGUCUCAAGUGGUUAUUUAUCCUUGAAAUGAAAAACAAGCCCAUGGAAAAUAAACAUGGAAAGUUAAAAUCCUGAUGUACUGAUGGCUAUGCAUGGCCAUUCAGAAACAUAAUUCUGAUUGACUGUGUAUCAAAAUUUCUUUGAGAUUACAUUUACCAGAUUUAAAAUCUAUAAGGAAAACACAGCAAAAUAGCAUCUGUCAGCUAUGAUGUUAGCUACUAAAAGCAGUUCAUAUUUCAACAUUAGCUUGCACUACAUUUCUUUCAAUGAUGUCAUAUCUUUAAUAAGCUGGGUUUUCCUUGAUUGUCAUGACAAAAAUAAAUGGUGAACAAAACUGAUAUGGAAUAAGAAAUGAGGGUUGCAGCGUCCCAUCUGAUGCCAUGAUCUGAUAUGAAAUUUUUCUAGGAGCACAAAUCCAUUUAGUGUAUAAUUGUAGUUAUUUAAACAUGAAAAAUACUAUAUUUUCUUUUAAUUUAUGUACAUUGUUCAUUCAAAAGAUUACUAUAUUGUUAAGAUGUAAAUGAUUAAGUUUUUGAACCUAACUACUUCAUAAACAGAAUGAUUAGGUAUUGCUUUUGACCUAUCAAAUACCAUGGAAAUGUUACUGUGUGCCGAGGUUCCUGUAAACCAAGCAAGUCUAGGAACCUCUGACUUAUACCAUUUUGUUGACCUUGUUGAACUCUUUGAAUCUGUGAUUUUCCUUUGAAAAUAAUCUACAGAGGCCAAGUGACACUCUAGGAUGGAUUUUUGAGCUGCGUAUGUUUCUAGACUAUGGCUAAAUAUUCCUCAAAUCCCCGGUGUCUUAACUCCCAAUGAAUUGAGGCAGAGUUUUCUUAAUGAGGUAGUUAAAUAGCACAUUCUACUUUCCACAGCUCCCACUUCUGGCUUGAGAUUGAUAAGGAUGCUCCAUAGUAGACAUAGGAUAUAAGUUCUUUACUAGGGAGACUCCUUGUAAGUUGUUUCUGAGAAGCCCAAAUCUAAGGAGGUGUAAAUGGAAAGGCAUUUCACACUGCCUGAUGAAGGAAUUGUCACAUCUCAUUUUGGGCUGAUUCAUUCUAGGACCAACCCAAGAAUGUGAAAAUUACUCUCACCUUGGUCCUCAUUCCAAAGAAUGUGAAAAUUAUCUUAAAUCUCUGGGGCAGCAAUACUGAGUCAAUUAGCGGUCACUUUUCCUCUACCUCAACAAAAAGUCUUUCACUCUUCAAUGUAGAGCUGAAAUUGCAUUUUCUUCCCAAGCCUCUCCU
Molecule: long non-coding RNA, 6592 nt
Filed under: Sus scrofa (pig)
Lineage: Eukaryota; Metazoa; Chordata; Mammalia; Artiodactyla; Suidae
Description: lncRNA (ENSSSCG00060041881.1)
Source: RNAcentral